AAACUCGCCUGCUGAGUUAAGUCGAGUCAUUUCACAGUGACAAGGUACUUUGGACUUAAGGAAGACAAUUUCGACACUUUAAGAAAGGAGAGAUGUCGAAGAUUUUGGUGGUGCUACUUAUCGUCUGCCUCGUAUCUCUACAAAACAGUGCGUUACGAGUUAGGCCUAACGUGACACCUUGCUGUAGGAGGUGCUUAAAGCAAUCUCAAUGUAGAGUUGAUCCAUGUGCUUUUACCACGUGCCUUCGUGGUUCAAAGUGCUGCCGCUGUAGCUGCAAGAGAGCCAUAUGCAAGUCAGCCUACAAGGGCUGAUAGAGUUCAAACGUUUUGUAUGACUAUUAAUAACUAUGAGCAACGCCUCAUUCUUAAACGUAUCACUGAAGCUCGUAAACUAUACCUGGCUUUCAUUGAAAUAAUCAUCAGAUAAUUUGGGUAAAUGAAGUCGGUGUUAAAAAUAAAUAAAUGGAUAAAUAAAUAAUGGAAAGAAAAGAGAAUGAAGUUCAACGUGGUUUAAGAUUAAAAAAACAAUUGAAUUGAAAACAAAAAGGCUGAAAUACUCUAAUAAAAUCUGAACUUUAUCAUCAUUAGUUCUUUUGUUCUGGCAACAACUGCUAACAGUUUGUCGGAAAUGAUUAUUCAGAUACUGCGCUGUUGAUGUUAUGAAAGACGAUUAAACUUUGGUGAGUUACCGAG
Stylophora pistillata is the source of this 692-nucleotide long non-coding RNA. RefSeq lists it as uncharacterized. Lineage: Eukaryota; Metazoa; Cnidaria; Anthozoa; Scleractinia; Pocilloporidae. The record is from RefSeq and is a predicted model, not a curated record.